AUAUCAAUAAGCGGAGGAAAAGAAACCAACAGGGAUUGCCCUAGUAACGGCGAGUGAAGCGGCAACAGCUCAAAUUUGAAAUCUGGCCCUAGCGGUCCGAGUUGUAAUUUGUAGAGGAUGCUUUUGGUGAGGUGCCUUCCGAGUUCCCUGGAACGGGACGCCGGAGAGGGUGAGAGCCCCGUACGGUUGGACGCCAAACCUCUGUAUAGCUCCUUCGACGAGUCGAGUAGUUUGGGAAUGCUGCUCUAAAUGGGAGGUAAAUUUCUUCUAAAGCUAAAUACCGGCCAGAGACCGAUAGCGCACAAGUAGAGUGAUCGAAAGAUGAAAAGCACUUUGAAAAGAGGGUUAAAUAGCACGUGAAAUUGUUGAAAGGGAAGCGUUUGCGACCAGACCUUUUCCAGGCGGAUCAUCCGGCGUUCUCGCCGGUGCACUCCGCCUGGUUGAGGCCAGCAUCGGUUUCCUUAGGGGGAUAAAGGCCUGGGGAACGUAGCUCCUUCGGGAGUGUUAUAGCCCCUGGCGCAAUACCCCUCGGGGGACCGAGGACCGCGCUUCGGCAAGGAUGCUGGCGUAAUGGUCGUCAACGACCCGUCUUGAAACACGGACCAAGGAGUCGAACAUUUGUGCGAGUGUUUGGGUGUCAAACCCUCACGCGUAAUGAAAGUGAACGGAGGUGAGAGCCCUUACGGGUGCAUCAUCGACCGAUCCUGAUGUCUUCGGAUGGAUUUGAGUAAGAGCAUAACUGUUCGGACCCGAAAGAUGGUGAACUAUGCGUGGAUAGGGUGAAGCCAGAGGAAACUCUGGUGGAGGCUCGCAGCGGUUCUGACGUGCAAAUCGAUCGUCAAAUCUGCGCAUGGGGGCGAAAGACUUAUCGAACCAUCUAGUAGCUGGUUACCGC
This 895-nucleotide ribosomal RNA is filed under the name Daldinia bambusicola. RNAcentral describes it as "partial large subunit ribosomal RNA". It matches the Rfam family "Eukaryotic large subunit ribosomal RNA", at positions 40 to 961 of the family's 3401-position model. The record is from RNAcentral. Lineage: Eukaryota; Fungi; Ascomycota; Sordariomycetes; Xylariales; Hypoxylaceae.